AUUGAACGCUGGCGGCAGGCUUAACACAUGCAAGUCGAGCGGAGAUGAGGUGCUUGCACCUUAUCUUAGCGGCGGACGGGUGAGUAAUGCUUAGGUAUCUGCCUAUUAGUGGGGGACAACAUUCCGAAAGGAAUGCUAAUACCGCAUACGUCCUACGGGGAGAAAAGCAGUGGAUCUUCGGACCUUGCGCUAAUAGAUGAGCCUAAGUCGGAUUAGCUAGUUGGUGGGGUAAAGGCCUACCAAGGCGACGAUCUGUAGCGGGUCUGAGAGGAUGAUCCGCCACACUGGGACUGAGACACGGCCCAGACUCCUACGGGAGGCAGCAGUGGGGAAUAUUGGACAAUGGGGGGAACCCUGAUCCAGCCAUGCCGCGUGUGUGAAGAAGGCCUUAUGGUUGUAAAGCACUUUAAGCGAGGAGGAGGCUACUGAGACUAAUACUCUUGGAUAGUGGACGUUACUCGCAGAAUAAGCACCGGCUAACUCUGUG
RNAcentral lists this ribosomal RNA (487 nucleotides) under uncultured bacterium. Its description in RNAcentral is "bacterial SSU rRNA". It matches the Rfam family "Bacterial small subunit ribosomal RNA", at positions 30 to 507 of the family's 1533-position model. The record is from RNAcentral.